CCCUUAGAUGUCCUGGGCUGCACGCGCGCUACACUGAUGUGUCCAGUAAGCACCUAACCUCUUCCGAAAGGAACGGGUAACCUUUGCAAAGCACAUCGUGAUGGGGAUAGAUUAUUGCAAUUAUUAGUCUUGAACGAGGAAUUCCUAGUAAGCACAAGUCAUCAGCUUGUGUUGAUCACGUCCCUGCCCUUUGUACACACCGCCCGUCGCUCCUACCGAUUGAAUGUUCCGGUGAGCUCUUCGGACUGCGCGGUCUGCAGUUUCUGCGUUCCGUGCGGAAAGUUGCGCAAACCUUAACAUUUAGAGGAAGGAGAAGUCGUAACA
This 324-nucleotide ribosomal RNA is filed under the name uncultured eukaryote. RNAcentral's name for it is "partial 18S ribosomal RNA". It matches the Rfam family "Eukaryotic small subunit ribosomal RNA", at positions 1470 to 1796 of the family's 1831-position model. The record is from RNAcentral.